AUACGGGAGGCAGCAGUGGGGAAUUUUGGACAAUGGGCGAAAGCCUGAUCCAGCAAUGCCGCGUGCAGGAUGAAGGCCUUCGGGUUGUAAACUGCUUUUGUACGGAGCGAAACGGCUCUCUUUAAUACAGGGAGCUAAUGACGGUACCGUAAGAAUAAGCACCGGCUAACUACGUGCCAGCAGCCGCGGUAAUACGUAGGGUGCAAGCGUUAAUCGGAAUUACUGGGCGUAAAGCGUGCGCAGGCGGUUAUAUAAGACAGAUGUGAAAUCCCUGGGCUCAACCUAGGAACUGCAUCUGUGACUGUAUAGCUAGAGUACGGUAGAGGGGGAUGGAAUUCCGCGUGUAGCAGUGAAAUGCGCAGAUAUGCGGAGGAACACCGAUGGCGAAGGCAAUCCCCUGGACCUGUACUGACGCUCAUGCACGAAAGCGUGGGGAGCAAACAGGAUUAGAAACCCCGGUAGUCCC
Molecule: ribosomal RNA, 466 nt
Filed under: uncultured bacterium
Lineage: Bacteria
Description: bacterial SSU rRNA
Rfam family: Bacterial small subunit ribosomal RNA
Source: RNAcentral